AGGAUAAACGCUGGCGGCGUGCCUAACACAUGCAAGUCGAACGUCCUACGCAAGUAGGGAGUGGCGGACGGGUGAGUAACACGUGGGCAAUCUACCUUUCGGUGAGGAAUACCGGCGAGAAAUCGCCGACAAUACCGCAUACGCUUCGCAAGAAGCAAAGUCGCAAGACGCCGGAGGAGGAGCCUGCGCCCGAUUAGCUGGUUGGUGAGGUAAGAGCUCACCAAGGCGACGAUCGGUAGCUGGUCUGAGAGGAUGAUCAGCCACACUGGGACUGAGACACGGCCCAGACUCCUACGGGAGGCAGCAGUGGGGAAUAUUGGACAAUGGGCGCAAGCCUGAUCCAGCAAUGCCGCGUGAGUGAAGAAGGUCUUAGGAUUGUAAAGCUCUUUCGGUGGGGACGAUGAUGACGGUACCCGCAGAAGAAGCCCCGGCUAACUUCGUGCCAGCAGCCGC
Molecule: ribosomal RNA, 453 nt
Filed under: uncultured bacterium
Lineage: Bacteria
Description: SSU rRNA
Rfam family: Bacterial small subunit ribosomal RNA
Source: RNAcentral